UACGUAGGUGGCAAGCGUUGUCCGGAUUUACUGGGCGUAAAGGGCGUGCAGGCGGUCUGUUAAGUUCAGGGUGAAAGCUCCCGGCUCAACUGGGAGAGGUCCUUGGAUACUGGCAGACUAGAGGUAGGUAGGGGAGAAUGGAAUUCCCGGUGUAGCGGUGAAAUGCGCAGAUAUCGGGAGGAACACCGGUGGCGAAGGCGGUUCUCUGGGCCUUACCUGACGCUGAGGAGCGAAAGCGUGGGGAGCGAACAGG
RNAcentral lists this ribosomal RNA (253 nucleotides) under uncultured bacterium. Its description in RNAcentral is "partial 16S ribosomal RNA". It matches the Rfam family "Bacterial small subunit ribosomal RNA", at positions 524 to 776 of the family's 1533-position model. The record is from RNAcentral.